This 514-nucleotide ribosomal RNA is filed under the name uncultured bacterium. RNAcentral's name for it is "bacterial SSU rRNA". It matches the Rfam family "Bacterial small subunit ribosomal RNA", at positions 32 to 521 of the family's 1533-position model. The record is from RNAcentral.
AAUCAACGCUGGCGGCGUGCCUCAGACGUGCAAGUCGAACGCGAAAGUCCCCUUCGGGGGAUGAGUAGAGUGGCGCACGGGUGAGUAACACGUAGGUAAUCUACCUUCGGGUGGGGAAUAACAACCGGAAGCGGUUGCUAAUACCGCAUAAUGCAGCGGCACCUAAUGGUGACAGUUGUUAAAGCGGGGGAUCGCAAGACCUCGCGCCUGAAAGAGGAGCCUGCGGCGGAUUAGCUAGUUGGCAGGGUAACGGCCUACCAAGGCGACGAUCCGUAGCCGGCCUGAGAGGGCGGUCGGCCACACUGACACUGACAUACGGGUCAGACUCCUACGGGAGGCAGCAGUCGGGAAUUUGGGCAAUGGGCGAAAGCCUGACCCAGCAACGCCGCGUGAAGGAUGAAAUCCCUCGGGAUGUAAACUUCGCAAGAACGGGAAGAAUAAGCCGGUGUUAACAUCAUCGGCGAUGACGGUACCGUUUGUAAGCUCCGGCUAACUCCGUGCCAGCAGCCGCGGU